CUUUCCUACGGGAGGCAGCAGUGGGGAAUAUUGGGCAAUGGGCGCAAGCCUGACACAGCAACGCCGCGUGAAGGAAGAAGGCUUUCGGGUUGUAAACUUCUUUUCUCAGGGACGAAUAGAUGACGGUACCUGAGGAAUAAGCCACGGCUAACUACGUGCCAGCAGCCGCGGUAAUACGUAGGUGGCAAGCGUUAUCCGGAUUUACUGGGUGUAAAGGGCGUGUAGGCGGGGACGCAAGUCAGAUGUGAAAACCA
Molecule: ribosomal RNA, 254 nt
Filed under: uncultured bacterium
Lineage: Bacteria
Description: partial 16S ribosomal RNA
Rfam family: Bacterial small subunit ribosomal RNA
Source: RNAcentral